This 634-nucleotide long non-coding RNA is filed under the name Phoenix dactylifera (date palm). RNAcentral's name for it is "long non-coding RNA (PDAC_LNC020259)". The record is from RNAcentral. Lineage: Eukaryota; Viridiplantae; Streptophyta; Magnoliopsida; Arecales; Arecaceae.
AAAAAUCCUAGAUAUAUAAUUAACAUUCAAAAUAAAAUCAACAAUGUUAAAUAAAAGACGUAGUCUUGGUUACCUUCGAAUUAGCACAGGUGAUAACUAAAUAUCAGGACCUUAGGUACUGCUAACCUUAGUCUGGAUCAUGCAAAAUCUUUACAGGUUAAUCUAAUGAAAGUGGGGUCCUUCAAAUUGAUUUGGGUUUCACCAGAUUCAAGUAAAAUUUCCUAGUUGCCUUUCGAGGAUUUGAAAAUAAUUUGUAAGGCUCAAUAUGUGUUUUCAAGGGGCAUAGGCUUUUAUAAAAUUAAGGUCCUAUCUCAAACCGACAACAUGAAGUGAAAACAAUAAUAACCUAAAGAUAAACUAGUUUAUAGGGAAAGGCUGAAAAAUAAUUUUGUAAAGGAAAGAUACGACCUCUUCUUACAGAUCUGAUUCAGUGGAUGAGUUUGGAUGUCAGAGUGUAGGAUGCAGAACCGGAACCCGACGAUUUGUAGAAGAUGCUGCUGAAAAAUGGCUGACUGCAGUGUUGUUGUAGAAGUCCAACUCACGGCAGGGUCUGGAUCCAGGUGCAGGGCCUGAAAGCUGGGCCCGCAAGAUACUGGGCCAGAGGAUCAGCUGGGCCCGCAAGACACUGAACCGG